AAGCAUGCCCAAUUAAAUGGCAACGGGAUAGAUAGUUGUACAUGCAUACCACUGGCGUUUAAAUAGCAAGAAAGAUGAUGAUCAAAAAGAGAAUAUACUAUAAAAAAAAUGUGUUUUUGUGAUGAAUUUUUAGUGACAAAAUAAAUUAUCAUCAUUAUAAAUAAAGCUUUUACAAUAAAUUAUAAUUUUGUUGUAAAAAGUCAAUUUUUUGUGAUGAAAUCUCUUUUUGUCGGCAG
RNAcentral lists this long non-coding RNA (236 nucleotides) under Elaeis guineensis (African oil palm). Its description in RNAcentral is "long non-coding RNA (EGUI_LNC036185)". The record is from RNAcentral. Lineage: Eukaryota; Viridiplantae; Streptophyta; Magnoliopsida; Arecales; Arecaceae.